This is an RNA transcript of Juglans microcarpa x Juglans regia, 664 nucleotides long. It is a transcript of the gene named 2S albumin seed storage protein-like, with no coding region annotated. The transcript has a single exon. The record is from RefSeq and is a predicted model, not a curated record. NCBI's taxonomy places the organism in Eukaryota, Viridiplantae, Streptophyta, Magnoliopsida, Fagales, Juglandaceae.
GUGCAUAUUUCAUACCUUUUCUUUAACAAUGGCCAGGCUCGCAACUCUAGCAGCUCUCCUUGUAGCCCUUUUGUUCGUAGCCAACGCUGCUGCCUUCCGCACCACCAUAACAACCAUGGAGAUCGACGAGGACAUUGACAACCCAAGGCGGUGAGGCGAGGGCUGCCAGGAGCAGAUUCAACGCCAGCAAAACCUCAACCACUGCCAGUACUACCUGAGGCAGCAAAGCCGGUCAGGGGGUUAUGAUGAAGACAACCAGCGGCAGCAUUUCAGGCAGUGCUGCCAGCAGCUGAGUCAGAUAGAGGAGCAGUGCCAGUGUGAGGGAUUGAGGCAGGCGGUGAGGCGGCAGCAGCAGCAGCAGGGUCGCCGGGGUGAGGAAAUGGAGGAGAUGGUGCAGUCUGCUAGGGACUUGCCAAAGGAAUGCGGUAUCAGCAGCCAGCGCUGUGAAAUUCGUAGAAGCUGGUUCUAGAUCAGGACAUCAUGCACCAUAAUAAGGGUCCCAGUUAGCUCUAGCAUUUGUCGCUGGAAGAUAACUGGUGACUAGCUUUAGCAACUAGCAAGCACAUCCUCGUGUGUAAUAUAAUAUGUAAUCCUGGCCUUCAAGUAGUUUAGGGCCUUUGUAUGUAGGCUUUCUUAAGUAAAAUAAAAACUUGCUAAAAUAAAA